UACGUAGGGGGCAAGCGUUGUCCGGAGUUAUUGGGCGUAAAGAGCGUGUAGGCGGCUAGGUAGGUCCGUUGUGAAAACUCGAGGCUCAACCUCGAGACGCCGGUGGAAACCAUCUAGCUAGAGUCCGGAAGAGGAGAGUGGAAUUCCUGGUGUAGCGGUGAAAUGCGCAGAUAUCAGGAAGAACACCCGUGGCGAAGGCGGCUCUCUGGUACGUGACUGACGCUGAGACGCGAAAGCG
This 238-nucleotide ribosomal RNA is filed under the name uncultured bacterium. RNAcentral's name for it is "partial 16S ribosomal RNA". It matches the Rfam family "Bacterial small subunit ribosomal RNA", at positions 524 to 761 of the family's 1533-position model. The record is from RNAcentral.